UGGGGAAUAUUGGACAAUGGGCGCAAGCCUGAUCCAGCCAUGCCGCGUGAGUGAUGACGGCCCUAGGGUUGUAAAGCUCUUUUACCCGGGAAGAUAAUGACGGUACCGGGAGAAUAAGCCCCGGCUAACUUCGUGCCAGCAGCCGCGGUAAUACGAAGGGGGCUAGCGUUGUUCGGAUUAACUGGGCGUAAAGGGUGCGUAGGCGGGCUUUUAAGUCAGGGGUGAAAUCCCGAGGCUCAACCUCGGAACUGCCUUUGAUACUGGGUGUCUUGAGUCCGGGAGAGGUGAGUGGAACUGCGAGUGUAGAGGUGAAAUUCGUAGAUAUUCGCAAGAACACCAGUGGCGAAGGCGGCUCACUGGCCCGGAACUGACGCUGAGGCACGAAAGCGUGGGGAGCAAACAGGAUUAGAUACCCUGGUAGUCCACGCCUUAAACGAUGAAUGCUAGCCGUUGGUCAGCUUGCUGAUCCGUGGCGCCGUUAACACAUUAAGCAUUCCGCCUGGGGAGUACGGUCGCAAGAUU
Molecule: ribosomal RNA, 522 nt
Filed under: uncultured bacterium
Lineage: Bacteria
Description: bacterial SSU rRNA
Rfam family: Bacterial small subunit ribosomal RNA
Source: RNAcentral